Molecule: ribosomal RNA, 407 nt
Filed under: uncultured bacterium
Lineage: Bacteria
Description: partial 16S ribosomal RNA
Rfam family: Bacterial small subunit ribosomal RNA
Source: RNAcentral
GACGAACGCUGGCGGCGUGCCUAAUACAUGCAAGUAGAACGCAGUUGCGAACGGGUGAGUAACGCGUAGGUAAAUGCCUCAUCGCGGGGGAUAACUAUUGGAACCGAUAGCUAAUACCGCAUACUGUGCGAUGGACCUGCGUUGUAUUAGCUAGUUGGUGAGGUAAAGGCUCACCACGGCGACGAUACAUAGCCGACCUGAGAGGGUGAACGGCCAAAAUGGGACUGAGACACGGCCCAGACUCCUACGGGAGGCAGGAGUAGGGAAUCUUCGGCAAUGGACGGAAGUCUGACCGAGCAACGCCUCGUGAGAGAAGAAGGUUUUCGGAUCGUAAAGCUCUUUUGUUAGAGAAGCGGUAACUACCCAGAAAGGGACGGCUAACUACGUGCCAGCAGCCGCGGUAAUAC